ACAAAUAUUAGUUUUCUCUUUAGUUUUCAAGUUGAUCAUUUUCUUUAUUGAAAUGUAUCAAUACAUUUUUCAACCUUGUUAGCCCUGCCAAUUUAAUGUCAAAUUUACAAUAUGCACAUUUCUGCUCGGCCAAAUUCAUGUAGCUAAAACAAGCAGAAAUGUGCACCACUCAGCGCCAUUUUUUUCUAGAGAGAGCUGCAAGUUUUGCUAGUUUUUGGAGUACGGGAACGCGUUGUAGCAGAAUUAGUGCUAAUUAGUACUAAUUUGCAGGUUCUGGAACACAACUAUUAUGAGCAAGGCUGAACAUGUUGCCAGAUUGUUGAACAAAAAGGAAAAGAUGAAAAUAAUCAAUCCAACGGGUUGAUAUCCGGAGAUUUUGGUGACCAUUGCGCGCUGGAAAUGAAGCGAGGAACCUCAUUUUGUAACCAUUCUUGGGUGGCGCGGCCAAAAUGUUUGCGAGUCCAAGGCUUUAAUACACCCUCCAGAGUAUAGUAUAGUAUUUUCGAGAUAAUAUUCGGCAUUUAUUCUGUCGAUUAAUACGAGCGGAGAGCGAGCAUCGGCUGUUAUGGCGGCCCACACUAUCACCAUGACCGGCGCUUGAGUUCUGGUGGUCAACCGAAGGUGUACAUUUUCAGCUGACCUCUUUGGCAAGUAAACACGAUCAUUUUGUUUUUUCAUCGCAGAAAACCAAAUUCGAUAGUUCACCACUUCGGCCAAGCGAAGCAACUCUUUAGCUCUUUUGAGUCUAUUUUCUUUUUGUAGCGAUGUAAGUUCUUGCAAUUUUUGGAAUUUCAAUGGCUUUAUCCCGAGCUCAUUUUUUAAUAUUUGCCGAAAGGGAUAUUGCGAUAUGUUCAGCUCACGCCAUUUUUCAUUUCGGCCACUGCUACGCCGGUUUCGAUCAAGUCGCUUCUUUAAUUUUCGAACCGUUUCUGCUGAUGUUGCUGUUUUCUUCCGUCCACUUCAUUUACGUCGUGCUACGCUACCAGUAUCACGGUAACAAGCGAUGGUACGAGACACAAAAGAUUUAUUCACAUUUAAAUGCUGGAGUGCUCCACCGAUCGCCACUUGUGGUUUUCCAGCCAAAUAUAAAUUAAUCACACUAUCACGCUUGAAUUCCGUCACGAAUAACUUUUUUCUCUAAAAUGCUCACCAAAAUGCUUUUGUACGCUUGUAACAAUAUAAUGAGCUGUCACUGGAAUAAUUUUAAAAGCUGUCGGACGAGUGGCUUAGAAAUACUUUAUAGCAGUGCAUUGUUAAGUAGUUUUUACCAACAUAUUUUAGGCCGUCCAUGUUUUCCAAAAUGGGAUUUUAGGACAAAAACAAAGCAACCAGACGAUUAAAGGUGCAUGUACACAUAUAUGGUAAAAAAUGCAAAAGGAAAAACAAGGGAAAUAAAGAGAAUUAUAUAAUAACUUGAAGGCCGUUUAAAACCUGCGAUUUCUACUAUUGAAUUGAGCUCAAGCCUGAAGUUCUUUCUAUUCGGGUUACCG
Musca domestica (house fly) is the source of this 1490-nucleotide long non-coding RNA. RefSeq lists it as uncharacterized. The transcript has 2 exons. The record is from RefSeq and is a predicted model, not a curated record. Lineage: Eukaryota; Metazoa; Arthropoda; Insecta; Diptera; Muscidae.